CUCCGCUUUACUCGAGUUUGGUAGAGUCGUGGUAUUGCGCCACCACGACGUCAUCAGUUUGAGGAAAAAUUGAU
Molecule: microRNA precursor, 74 nt
Filed under: Bombyx mori (domestic silkworm)
Lineage: Eukaryota; Metazoa; Arthropoda; Insecta; Lepidoptera; Bombycidae
Description: mir-2816 microRNA precursor family
Rfam family: mir-2816 microRNA precursor family
Source: Rfam by way of RNAcentral